This 466-nucleotide ribosomal RNA is filed under the name uncultured bacterium. Its description in RNAcentral is "partial 16S ribosomal RNA". It matches the Rfam family "Bacterial small subunit ribosomal RNA", at positions 28 to 523 of the family's 1533-position model. The record is from RNAcentral.
GAUGAACGCUGGCGGCGUGCCUAACACAUGCAAGUCGAGCGAACUCUUCGGGGUGAGCGGCGGACGGGUGAGUAACGCGUGGGUAACCUGCCCUAUACACACGGAUAACGUACCGAAAGGUACGCUAAUACGGGAUAAAGUUGUUGGAUGGCAUCUUCUAACAAUCAAAGCUCCGGCGGUAUAGGAUGGACCCGCGUCUGAUUAGCUAGUUGGUGAGGUAAUGGCUCACCAAGGCGACGAUCAGUAGCCGACCUGAGAGGGUGAUCGGCCACACUGGAACUGAGACACGGUCCAGACUCCUACGGGAGGCAGCAGUGGGGAAUAUUGCACAAUGGGCGAAAGCCUGAUGCAGCAACGCCGCAUGAGCGAUGAAGGUCUUCGGAUCGUAAAGCUCUGUCCUCAAGGAAGAUAAUGACGGUACUUGAGGAGGAAGCCCCGGCUAACUACGUGCCAGCCGCCGCCGUAA